CAGAGAAUCAAGCGGUUGCCUUCUGAGGGCUGAAGCGUAUAUCAGUACCAGAACCAGCUGGGGACUUUUCUCAGAUCUUCACUGUGAGAACCUGCUAGAGUCCUUGGAGAUAAAACUCACGAAAGUGUAAAGAUAGCUCUAUGGCAAGGUCUUCUUGGAGUUUUUAAUUCUCAGACUUAACCACAUUCAGCUUCCAGCAAUUCAUCAAUUAGAGUUCAGGUUUUCCUAACCUUGUUCUGGUUCCUGCAGAGGCACAAAGAUUACUGCUUGUGAGUUUCUGCUCUGGAAUGGAUGUUUUCUUUUAAAAAUGGUUUAUUGAAGUAUCAUGUACCUAUCUUAAGUGUACAGCACGAUGAUGUGUAUGCCCAUGUAACCAUCACCUAGAAGGAUGAGAACCACAAGCAUGAGAACAUGAGGAUAAAUACACUUUGGGGAAAAAGAAAACAGACAGAGGCAGCAGAGAAGGAAGACGAGAAGAAGAGAAAAAGAGAAGUAGGAAGAGGAUGAAUUCAUUUCGCUUAUCUGGCAAAUGUGUAAUCUGAGUAAUAGAGCAGUGACUAUGAACAGUUCCUUAACACCCUUGGCAUCCAGCUGAGUCAUUGAAUGUAGCCAGACAAAAACAGACACGUCACAGACAGUGGAGAAAGAGGAGAAGAAGGCCCCCUGACUUCUCAUCCAAAAAAUGGAGGCCUAACACAAAUGGAAAAUUGUCUUUAAAUUGCUGAAGAAUAAAAAAUACUUAAUGCUAUAUCCUAUGAAAAUAUCCUUUAAAUAUGAGGAUAAAAAUCAAGGUAAUCUUAGAAACAUGCCAAGCUAUGAGAAUUUUUAUUGCCUACAACCUACAUGACAACCAGUUCUAAAGGAACUCCUUCAGUCUGCAGGAAUCAUAGUGCAGGUCCAGGGAUGAACCUGAGAAGCAGUAAAGGAGUAUAUAUAAAAGACAACAUUUUCUUUCCUGAUGGAAUUGCUGUAAAACACUACCGACUCUUUAAAGAACAAUAACCCCACAGGCAGUUUUUAUACUGCAGGCAAAAGUAAAAAUUAUAAGAAUUGCACAAAGAAGGAUAUGGGGUAAAUGGAAUCAGUUAUACACUCUUGGUUUUCUCCUCACUGAGACUGAAGAGGAAAUUAAUGAAUUUUACAAUAUGUGAAGCCAGAAAAUUAACUUUCCCCUCAGGGCUUAGUUAUAAGGUAGCGCCCCCGUCCCCACCCCGUAGUAGAAGUUAGAGAAGGAUAUUAACAGCCUGUGCUCCUUCUGUGCUCCAUGAGCCUCAUCUAUACUCCCCAGUUUCACAUUCCUUAGAGCUCUGUGAAUUCUUGCUUACCU
Molecule: long non-coding RNA, 1327 nt
Filed under: Homo sapiens (human)
Lineage: Eukaryota; Metazoa; Chordata; Mammalia; Primates; Hominidae
Description: HSALNT0398815
Source: RNAcentral